GGGCGCCCGGCUCUGCUCCGCGGCCGCACCCCGCGGGCUAUGGGUGCUGUGCCCCCCGCACCGCCAUCACGAGGAGCCGACCGAAUCAGAUCCCAGCGCGGCUCUCCGCCUUGUUUUUGGCUGGGCGGCUUGCCGUGGCGACCUGAUGAUGACGGGAAGGGGGUGCCUGGCGUUGCGAGAGCGCGUGGCUGGGGACCUGAUGGCCUUUAAGGGUCCCUUCCAACUCAAACUGUUCUGUGAUCCUAUGAAGAAGCGACUCGGGAGAAGCCGGAGGAGGAGAUGGAACAUCCCUCUGAAGGAAAAGAUGUGGCUGCUGUGCUGGGUGCCGUGUGCCAGUGCUGCCCAGCAAAUGUUAAGCGCUCAGACUCCUACAGGAAGGGAAGCCCCGCAACACUUGGAUCCACAGCCCCACUGCUGCCAUCAGAGAGAGCAUUAUUCCAUCCGGGUGCUGCCAGCUGCAAGCAAAUAGACCGCCUUCAGCAUGCAAAUAAUGGACCCACUGUAGGAGCGGGGAGACAGAUGAGGUCUUUAUUCCUGCUCCCAGGCACUGCGUUGCUGAGACCUCUGUCUGUCUGACUGUCUAUCUGUCCGUCCCCCCAGGAACGCUCCGGUGUUUCCUCCUCUGACUCCCAUUGCAAAUCCUGUGGGGUGAGAGGGGGAAACUGAGGCAGGGAGGCAAUGGGAAGUGCGUGUGGGAUGCAUGGCCCCCUGCACCAAAGUCAAACUUCAGGGCAGGUUCAGAAAUGCUGAUCUGAGGGUGCUGAGGGCAGGGACAGGACCCCCAGGCCUUUUCUUUUUGUAGGUCAGUGCCAUGGCUGUUUUCAAGUCAAGGCUGAAUUCACUGGGAUUCAGCUGCCCCAGUCCCUCCUAGUCUGACCAGUUCCUUAAGGCCAGUGCCAAAGUGCAAGCAUCUGGAGUCUCUCAUUGACCUCCUGUGCCACUUAAGUAACUAGUCCUAAUACUGGGGCUUGGAACGAGGUGAUCCGUAAGGUCCCUUCCAACUCAGCUAUUCUGUGAUUCCACGAUUCUAUGAUUUCCUGAAACCUGACGUAACUCAGUUGCAUAAUAGAAUACCCAGGCAUAAUUCAUGCCUUUCCCAUCCUGAUGAAAAUCUGUGAUGACAUCUUUGUAUUAAAGAGGCCAUAGAAAUGCAAAGCGUGAUGACACAGGUGAG
Gallus gallus (chicken) is the source of this 1174-nucleotide long non-coding RNA. NCBI's taxonomy places the organism in Eukaryota, Metazoa, Chordata, Aves, Galliformes, Phasianidae. The record is from Ensembl.